RNAcentral lists this ribosomal RNA (492 nucleotides) under uncultured bacterium. Its description in RNAcentral is "partial 16S ribosomal RNA". It matches the Rfam family "Bacterial small subunit ribosomal RNA", at positions 29 to 507 of the family's 1533-position model. The record is from RNAcentral.
AGUGAACGCUGGCGGUAGGCCUAACACAUGCAAGUCGAACGGCAGCACAGUAAGAGCUUGCUCUUACGGGUGGCGAGUGGCGGACGGGUGAGGAAUACAUCGGAAUCUACUUUUUCGUGGGGGAUAACGUAGGGAAACUUACGCUAAUACCGCAUACGACCUACAGGUGAAAGCAGGGGAUCUUCGGACCUUGCGCGAUUGAAUGAGCCGAUGUCGGAUUAGCUAGUUGGCGGGGUAAAGGCCCACCAAGGCGACGAUCCGUAGCUGGUCUGAGGGGAUGAUCAGCCACACUGGAACUGAGACACGGUCCAGACUCCUACGGGAGGCAGCAGUGGGGAAUAUUGGACAAUGGGCGCAAGCCUGAUCCAGCCAUACCGCGUGGGUGAAGAAGGCCUUCGGGUUGUAAAGCCCUUUUGUUGGGAAAGAAAAGCAGCAGGUUAAUACCCCGCUGUUCUGACGGUACCCAAAGAAUAAGCACCGGCUAACUUCGUG